GUGGAUUAGAUACCCUGGUAGUCCACGCCGUAAACGAUGAUAACUAGCUGUCCGGGCACUUGGUGCUUGGGUGGCGCAGCUAACGCAUUAAGUUAUCCGCCUGGGGAGUACGGCCGCAAGGUUAAAACUCAAAGAAAUUGACGGGGGCCUGCACAAGCGGUGGAGCAUGUGGUUUAAUUCGAAGCAACGCGCAGAACCUUACCAACGUUUGACAUCCCUAGUAUGGUUAGUGGAGACACUUUCCUUCAGUUCGGCUGGCUAGGUGACAGGUGCUGCACGGCCGUCGACAGCU
RNAcentral lists this ribosomal RNA (292 nucleotides) under uncultured bacterium. Its description in RNAcentral is "partial 16S ribosomal RNA". It matches the Rfam family "Bacterial small subunit ribosomal RNA", at positions 773 to 1060 of the family's 1533-position model. The record is from RNAcentral.